UGGGGAAUUUUGGACAAUGGGCGAAAGCCUGAUCCAGCAAUGCCGCGUGUGUGAAGAAGGCCUUCGGGUUGUAAAGCACUUUUGUCCGGAAAGAAAUCCUUGGCUCUAAUACAGUCGGGGGAUGACGGUACCGGAAGAAUAAGCACCGGCUAACUACGUGCCAGCAGCCGCGGUAAUACGUAGGGUGCAAGCGUUAAUCGGAAUUACUGGGCGUAAAGCGUGCGCAGGCGGUUUGCUAAGACCGAUGUGAAAUCCCCGGGCUCAACCGGGAACUGCAUUGGUGACUGGCAGGCUAGAGUAUGGCAGAGGGGGGUAGAAUUCCACGUGUAGCAGUGAAAUGCGUAGAGAUGUGGAGGAAUACCGAUGGCGAAGGCAGCCCCCUGGGCCAAAUACUGACGCUCAUGCACGAAAGCGUGGGGAGCAAA
Molecule: ribosomal RNA, 425 nt
Filed under: uncultured bacterium
Lineage: Bacteria
Description: partial 16S ribosomal RNA
Rfam family: Bacterial small subunit ribosomal RNA
Source: RNAcentral